GAUAGGAAAGUGCUGCUCAUGGGAGAUACUUGAUUACCAUUUUGCUCCUCAAUAGUCAUGUGGUUAUGAUAACAUAUGCUUCAUAUUCUUCAGCCAACAGUCAACAAAAGGUUGUGGUCCAAAUCUCAAUGGAGAUAAUAUAAAUUUGUACUGUUGAUUGUCUCAACAAACUUGGUUGGUUCAUUAAUCCGUAUGAAGUAAUUCAUCUCAUGGAGUUUGAGACAAGGGAGGGCAAAGGGAAAAAAUCAUAGACAUGCAUGCUACUAGCAAGAGGAUAGAUGAAGACAUUAUUGAAAGUAAAAAAGUGUUGAACUUCUUAUCACAAAAAAUAGAGAGAGGGAAGAAAAGUUUAUCAACUAAGGUAGGCAAAGCAAAGAAAAGGAGAAGGUUUGUAAAAUGAUUUAAGAGGUGAAAUAUUCAAAUCAUUAUAUCUAUGAGGAUAUGAUCCUUGUGAUCAUGAGCAUCGUGAUAGAAUGUAAAGAUUAGAUUACUUAAGGUGAGAUUUAAAAAUUUAUACAUUUGAUUAGAUGAUGUAAA
Long non-coding RNA from Zingiber officinale, 537 nucleotides. RefSeq lists it as uncharacterized. The record is from RefSeq and is a predicted model, not a curated record. NCBI's taxonomy places the organism in Eukaryota, Viridiplantae, Streptophyta, Magnoliopsida, Zingiberales, Zingiberaceae. The transcript is spliced from 3 exons.